GUCUCUGUGGCGCAAUUGGUUAGCGCGCUGGGCUGUUAUCCGAGAGGUUGGUGGUUGAAGUCCACCCAAGGACG
RNAcentral lists this transfer RNA (74 nucleotides) under Nematostella vectensis (starlet sea anemone). It matches the Rfam family "tRNA". Rfam says of the family: Transfer RNA (tRNA) molecules are approximately 80 nucleotides in length. Their secondary structure includes four short double-helical elements and three loops (D, anti-codon, and T loops). Further hydrogen bonds mediate the characteristic L-shaped molecular structure. tRNAs have two regions of fundamental functional importance: the anti-codon, which is responsible for specific mRNA codon recognition, and the 3' end, to which the tRNAs corresponding amino acid is attached (by aminoacyl-tRNA synthetases). tRNAs cope with the degeneracy of the genetic code in two manners: having more than one tRNA (with a specific anti-codon) for a particular amino acid; and 'wobble' base-pairing, i.e. permitting non-standard base-pairing at the 3rd anti-codon position. Lineage: Eukaryota; Metazoa; Cnidaria; Anthozoa; Actiniaria; Edwardsiidae. The record is from Rfam by way of RNAcentral.